CUUGGAACUCACUUUGAAGACCAGGC
RNAcentral lists this non-coding RNA (26 nucleotides) under Cricetulus griseus (Chinese hamster). Lineage: Eukaryota; Metazoa; Chordata; Mammalia; Rodentia; Cricetidae. The record is from RNAcentral.